GUAGGGUCCAAGCGUUAAUCGGAAUUACUGGGCGUAAAGCGUGCGCAGGCGGUUGUGCAAGACCGAUGUGAAAUCCCCGGGCUUAACCUGGGAAUUGCAUUGGUGACUGCACGGCUAGAGUGUGUCAGAGGGGGGCAGAAUUCCACGUGUAGCAGUGAAAUGCGUAGAGAUGUGGAGGAAUACCGAUGGCGAAGGCAGCCCCCUGGGAUAACACUGACGCUCAUGCACGAAAGCGUGGGGGGAGCAAACAGGAUUAGAUACCCUGGUAGUCCACGCCCCUAAACGAUGUCAACUAGUUGUUGGGGAUUCAUUUCCUUAGUAACGUAGCUAACGCGUGAAGUUGACCGCCUGGGAGUACGGUCGCAAGAUUA
RNAcentral lists this ribosomal RNA (371 nucleotides) under uncultured organism. RNAcentral describes it as "partial 16S ribosomal RNA". It matches the Rfam family "Bacterial small subunit ribosomal RNA", at positions 527 to 896 of the family's 1533-position model. The record is from RNAcentral.